GUCCACGUAGCUCAGCAGGAUAGAGCACAGGAUUCCUAGUUGUAAAUUGGGGGCUGCACAUCGAAAGAGUGUAGUCGAUCUGCUCAAAGUCGGGGAACGCUUCGCUGAACUCUCAGCAUGCCAAUCCCGAGCCAAGCUCCAGGGAAACUUGGGGAAGGUGUAGAGACUGGAUGGGCAGCGCCUAAAGGCCGAAAGGCUCAUGGUGAAGGGACAGUCCAGACCACGAACGUCCUAGGACGGCGGCUAAAGCCGAAGUGGUAUGAAUCCUGGGGUCGGAGGUUCGAAUCCUCUCGUGGACACCA
This 302-nucleotide transfer RNA is filed under the name Rhizobium esperanzae. RNAcentral's name for it is "tRNA-Arg". Lineage: Bacteria; Pseudomonadati; Pseudomonadota; Alphaproteobacteria; Hyphomicrobiales; Rhizobiaceae. The record is from RNAcentral.